Gasterosteus aculeatus aculeatus (three-spined stickleback) is the source of this 1758-nucleotide long non-coding RNA. Lineage: Eukaryota; Metazoa; Chordata; Actinopteri; Perciformes; Gasterosteidae. The record is from Ensembl.
CAAAGUUUUUAAUCUUAUGCAGAUAAAAUCAAAUGCAUCACCAGCUCAUAACCCAAAGCUGUUCAAAGUAUACUGCCAUGAAAAGAGAAAAGCAGUGAACGCCAAUAAUGGAGAAGCUGAAUGCUGUGGCGAAUGUGUUUCCCGCUGAGCAGACAAUCUGGAAAGCCUUCAGAGACCUUGAUCUACCCCAGUGCCUUCUAUUAAAUCUAUUUAUUUUCCACUGUGUUGAGGCGACACAUCCAUUUCUACAAGUUGGUUUUUUAUUUUCACAUUCCAGUCAUCACAGACUGAUAUUCAAUUUUUUUUACUUUUUUUUUUUCAAUUAUUUCUUUGUAAAGAAAAAACAACCUCAUAGUCCUCAAGGUGCUGGACUUUAUGAGUGAUUACUAUAUUGUCAUGUGACCAAAUGAAACGGUACAUUUCAAACUUGUUUAUAACACUUGCAGAGUAACCGAGUGUUUCUUUAAAAAUCUGAAAUCAGUGUUCGGAGUUCACAUCCGACCGGAAUAAUGUUCCGGUCGUUAGCGUGUUAGUCUGGAGGCCCUUCGGAGCCUUGCUGCUUGUUUGUCAGAGUUUGUGUGUGUGUGUGUGUGGCUUCACAAAGGACAAUCUGUCACACGUGUGAGUAAACGGUUUAUGUUUGAUUCGUCAGCCUUUGACGGUGAAAACUUUUUCAUACUUCAGCCAUCUGACACUCGUCACGUGAUGAGUCGGUUCAAUGCGACCGCAUUGUUGUCAAGAAACGCAGCACGUUGAUGAGUUUGUGUCACUCAGCCUCGGCAGGCAGCUUGGGUAAUGUCAAAACCCUUUCACAGUGACCCGGGAAAUAUCCUACUUUAAAAAAAUAUAUAUAUAUUUUACUUUUCUGUUGUGAAGAAAUCCUUGUGUAAGUCGGACAUGAAGAACAGCUGAAAGCCUUGGACGGCUUUCUUGGUUCCAUUUGUACCUCUGACAGUGCUGGAUCAUGAAGACAAACUGUGAUAGAAACAUGACCUUUGUGCUUAAAGAUGAAUUCAUAAUAACCUUCAGCUAUAAGCUACAAAACGCCGUGCUGCAAUAACGGCUGUCUGCUCGAAUGAGCCAAUGCCAUUGUUCAAAAUGGUUGUGAAUACUUUACACAGUGAAGCAUCAACGAGUAUUGAUGCUUUCUUUGUGAAAGUCAGAUGACCACUACAGAUUUCUGUCUCUGAUUUUAUUUUUAGCGUUUUGUAUUUUCUGUGUUAUUGUAAAAUGACGGCCAAAUUACUUGCAGCUGAGAUGAUAUCCCAUUGAUUCGACUGCGGUUUUCUUCCAAGCAAAUUGGAUGAAUUGACUUAAUUAACUGUUUUUGAUUCCAUGAGAAGACAGCAUUUCUAUUUGCAGCCUCGGUGUCUGACGUGUAAUCCAGCAUGUACACACAACAGUCGAAGGGGAAAAGCAAAUGUUAUUCCACGUCCUGUGAAAAGUGAGUUGUGUUUGUUGCACUCAGAAUUGAGUGGACGGAUGAAGUGAUAACUGUCCUGUGAGGAUGAAUCAACAGGUUGAGCACUUUAAGUGACAUAUUUAAACUGGUUCAUGUACAUUGUAUUACUGCCUUUGUUUUUACCAAUCACAGUUGCUUCAUAUAAAAGCUUUUUUUAGGAUGAUUAGACCUCUGCUUAGACUGCAGUGGAAUCAUAUGAUUUCUUUCUUUCUCAGGUACCGUCUUGUUUUUCUUUCUUUCUCUUUUAAGUGUCAUUAAUGAAGAUGUUAUAUUAAGAUGUCUAUUAGUAACCUCCC